This 132-nucleotide transfer RNA is filed under the name Janibacter sp. HTCC2649. Its description in RNAcentral is "tRNA-Ser". Lineage: Bacteria; Bacillati; Actinomycetota; Actinomycetes; Micrococcales; Intrasporangiaceae. The record is from RNAcentral.
GCCGCUGUCGUCAAGGUGCUCGGCACCUCGUUUGAGUCGAGGCCGCCCAGCUCGGCGGAGGGCUGCCGGACAGUGACCCCCUGCUCGCCGCGGGCCUGCUCCAGCGGCCGGGCUUCACACUUCGCGGUGGCA